GCGCGACCUACCAUGCAGUCGAGCGGAUGAAGGGAGCUUGCUCCUGGAUUCAGCGGCGGAGGGGUGAGUAAUGCCUAGGAAUCUGCCUGGUAGUGGGGGAUAACGUCCGGAAACGGGCGCUAAUACCGCAUACGUCCUGAGGGAGAAAGUGGGGGAUCUUCGGACCUCACGCUAUCAGAUGAGCCUAGGUCGGAUUAGCUAGUUGGUGGGGUAAAGGCCUACCAAGGCGACGAUCCGUAACUGGUCUGAGAGGAUGAUCAGUCACACUGGAACUGAGACACGGUCCAGACUCCUACGGGAGGCAGCAGUGGGGAAUAUUGGACAAUGGGCGAAAGCCUGAUCCAGCCAUGCCGCGUGUGUGAAGAAGGUCUUCGGAUUGUAAAGCACUUUAAGUUGGGAGGAAGGGCAGUGAGUUAAUACCUUGCUGUUUUGACGUUACCAACAGAAUAAGCACCGGCUAACUUCGUGCCUGCAGCCGCGGUAAUACGAAGGGUGCGUGCGUUAAUCGGAAUUACUGGGCGUUAAGCGCGCGUAGGUGGUUCUGCAAGUUGGAUGUGAAAUCCCCGGGCUCGUCCUGGGAACUGCAUCCUUAACUACUGAGCUAGAGUUCGGUACAGGGUGGUGGAAGUUCCUGUGUAGCGGUGAAAUGGGUAGAUAUAGGAAGGUACACCAGUGGCGUAGGCGACGUCCUGGACUGAUACUGACUCUGAGGUGCGUAAGCGUGAGGAGCAAUCAGGAUUAGAAACCCUGGUACUCCACGCCGUUAACGAUGUCGACUAGCCCUUGGGAUCGUUGAGAUCUAAGUGGCCCAGC
Molecule: ribosomal RNA, 813 nt
Filed under: Pseudomonas aeruginosa
Lineage: Bacteria; Pseudomonadati; Pseudomonadota; Gammaproteobacteria; Pseudomonadales; Pseudomonadaceae
Description: bacterial SSU rRNA
Rfam family: Bacterial small subunit ribosomal RNA
Source: RNAcentral